Molecule: unclassified non-coding RNA, 299 nt
Filed under: Hevea brasiliensis (rubber tree)
Lineage: Eukaryota; Viridiplantae; Streptophyta; Magnoliopsida; Malpighiales; Euphorbiaceae
Source: RNAcentral
GUGGAGUCAGAUCAUCAAAAUAUCAUAGUUCACCCUUGCGAUGUUAUGGAGCCUUCCACUCACGGUCCUAUUGUGCUCCUUGUUGACUGUCCAACACCAUCUCAUCUGCAAGAGUUGUCAUCUUUGCAGUCUCUUACUCCGUUUUACUCGAAUAUAUCAGGACAACCUGUCGAACUGUGCAAAAAAGUAAAUUGUUUGAUACACCUUAGCCCUGUGUCAGUAACAAAUACACCCGCGUAUGAGCAAUGGAUGGCCAGAUUUGGUGAAGCCCAUCACAUAAUGGCACGACAUGAGCCGAA